Molecule: ribosomal RNA, 495 nt
Filed under: uncultured archaeon
Lineage: Archaea
Description: bacterial SSU rRNA
Rfam family: Archaeal small subunit ribosomal RNA
Source: RNAcentral
CUACGGGGCGCAGCAGGCGCGAAAACUUUACAAUGCGAGAAAUCGUGAUAAGGGAACCCCGAGUGCCCGUAAAUUCGGGCUGUCCGCCAGUGUAAAUAACUGGUGAAGAAAGGGCCGGGCAAGACCGGUGCCAGCCGCCGCGGUAAUACCGGCGGCUCGAGUGGUGGCCACUAUUACUGGGCUUAAAGCGUCCGUAGCUGGAUUGUUAAGUCUCUUGGGAAAUCCACCGGCUCAACCGAUGGGCGUUCAGGAGAAACUGGCAAUCUAGGGACCGGGAGAGGUGAGAGGUACUCCAGGGGUAGGAGUGAAAUCCUGUAAUCCUUGGGGGACCACCUGUGGCGAAGGCGUCUCACUAGAACGGCUCCGACAGUGAGGGACGAAAGCUGGGGGAGCAAACCGGAUUAGAUACCCGGGUAGUCCCAGCUGUAAACGAUGCGCGUUAGGUGUAUCGGUGACCACGAGUCAUCGAGGUGCCGAAGGGAAACCGUGAAACGU